Long non-coding RNA from Ctenopharyngodon idella (grass carp), 7610 nucleotides. RefSeq lists it as uncharacterized. Lineage: Eukaryota; Metazoa; Chordata; Actinopteri; Cypriniformes; Xenocyprididae. The record is from RefSeq and is a predicted model, not a curated record. The transcript has 7 exons.
AUAAUGUAGGUGAAAGAGUCUCUGUGAACGUGAGGUAAUAGCACUCAAAUAUGUUUGACUGUCUGGGGAGCGGCGGAACGCCAGCCAGACUGUGACCAACUGACACACUGACUCACACACACACACAGGGAGCAUUGGAGAGACUGUGCCAAUGCCUGGAUUAGGCAGCCAUGUAAACAAGCAAAUAGAUAUGGAGACAAGCAGACAGACAGACACAGGCAGAGAGACAGAUGGAUGGACAGACACAGAGACAAAAUGCUAUUAAUUGCAUCCGAUUAGCAUGGCGGGCACAGCUCCCUGUCUGCAGCGGGCACUAUAUUUGAUCGUGGGACAUAACAAAAAUAUUUUUCGCUGUCGUUUUGUUGAUCCGAGGGAGUUUGCACCUUAAAAAAGAAAGAAUCAAGACAGACCGCUGCCCGUGGCUUUUUCCAGAACAGGACAGUGAGCUGUGCUCCCGUUCGUUCGCUCUCUUUCUCUCUCUUGCUUGUAACUUUCUGUCUCUGCCAUUUUGAUGAGGUUGAAAAAAAGUCUAUCUCUUUUUCUCUCUCACUACGUGGCGUGGAUUGGACGCUGACUGGAAGGAAGGAGGGAGGAGUAGGAGCAAGAGAGAGCGCGCUGCUCGUGUAGACGGAGAGAUGGCAUAUUUGCAGAAAGAGUAAUGUGGUGUGAAAGCAGUCCUUUUCAGUCUUCACUCUUUAGACUGUUCUCUCGUCCGUAAAGCUGCUUUUUAUUUUCUGCACUACGCUCUACCCCUCUUUCUGCAUCUGCUUCUCUCUAUUAUAAACUUUUUUCUUAACGUUUUUAUAGCUUUAUUUCAUUGCUCUGUCAGUUUGUUUCUGUUUCAAUUCGUUCCUUGCUUGUUUUUAAUCGCCCCUCAGUUGUUGGGAGUUCAUGGGAGUUAAAGACAAAGGGAAACGUCCACAUUUUGGCACCACUAAGGGGAGUCAGAACUGCAGCCAAGGACCCUGCUGAGAUCCAAAAAACCCCAGUACAGCGAAGCGCCAAAAAAAAAAAAAAGAAAAGAAAAAAAGAAAACACCACCCUUUCCUUUGCAUGGUCACAAAUUCCACUCUCCCUGUAGCCAGGGCAGUGCCGCAGCUCCUCCUCGACCACAUCUCACCGCAUUCGACCUUUCCGCCUUCUCUUCUCAGUCUUCUACGGAACCUUUUCUGACCCAUUUUUGAGGAUUUUCAUUUUUUUCCACGAUUUUUUGCGGGCAACAGAAUUGGCCUAGUCUGCACCCUAAGCCUGACUCCAUAUUGCCGCCAGGUGUAGGCUGACUCUGGUAUGGACAUCGAACUGGUCAGCACCAUAGACAGACUUCCUCCACCGUUCCCUCCCUCCUGCUCCAAUCUUCAGUUCAGCUAGAGAAAGAGAGGGAGUGAGAGAGGGAAAGAAAGAAAAAGAAAGAGAGUGAGUGGAAUAAUGGUGAGCGACGAGGGAAAUUUCAGCGCUCAGAAACUUUUUCUUCCUCCAAAACAGAGAAAACAUCACAGUCUCACAGGCGUUCGGAGGACCGCAGCACCCGAGGCACAGUCAGUCGCUGCCACCAGCUCGCUUCGGCGAGGGCAUGCAGGCACCCUUCCUCCCCUCUGCAGUGCUGGAUGAAGACUAUUGUUCUGGUGCCCUCAUCUUCCUCUGGCACCACACCUCACCCACCAUGCCAGCCCACCUCGUCAAACAAGUGAAUUUCAUGUGACAAAGUGGUGAUAUCUAAGUGGAUCACAUGUUCAGAGGCAGCAGUGUAUAGUGCCCAUGGCCUUAGCACCUAUAGUGGGGCGAUAAGUGGUGGACACAGAUUAAUCAUCAACACACAAGCAAACACGCACACACACACACACACACACACACACACACACUCUCUCUCUCCCUCUCUCCGUGCAGCUGUUGAAGCUGGUGGUGUCACCAUAGCGACAGCAGUGUGCUACUGAAGAUCCCAGCCAACAGCUGCUCUCGGUAGAAACAGUAUUGAUUGAGCCUGCUCCACUCCCACUUCAAAAUGUGUAUGUCUUUUAGCUGUCAGCAUCUGCGAAUGACACCAUAUCUAAAGAUAUGGGUUGCAAAUAUAUUUUUGUACAAUAAUUGUGAGUCUUUGAAGUGUUUAUAUUAUAGCAUUAUGAAUCUAAUGGAGGAUGCAUUCUGUGUGUAUCUGAACAUGUGCAACAGAUGGUUCGGACGGCUCAUCGUAUUCCCUCUAAAUCAUGUCAAAUAGGUCCCCGAUACUUGUCUUAUUGUCCGUCCCCUUUCCUCUCUUUGGACGUCCCAGAGGACUGGUGUGCUCUAAGACUUCCUGCGGCCCUUUAGAGGACCUCUCGCUCCCCUCCCCCUCAGCGGUUCAAUGUAUCAUCAAAGAGAGGAUUAGUGUGGGCCAGCCCAGGAGACGGACUUGAGCACCUGACAAAUUUAAGCUUAUUAACUACAGAAAAAAAGGGGAAAACCUGCCCAGGAAGCACUGAGGGAUGGAGGGCGAACUCUGGGGAUUGCUGAUCUGUCAGCAUAUGGCUUGAUGUUAGGUGCUAGUAAUGCUGAUAUCUUUACAUUGAGAGAGUGUUGCUGCAUCUGAAAUCGCAUACUGUAUAGUAGGUACUACAUUUGGUUUGAAACGUACUUUGCGACCGUUAAAAAGUAUGUUCUACUAUAUAGAAUGAAUGUGUGUAGUAUGAAUGAAAUUCGGACAUACUACAUCCACCAUGUUGUCAUUGUCAUGUGACCUACGGCAUCAGUCGCGCCGCUUCACCUCCAUUCACAAAUCCUCUCUCGUGGCCUCAUGGGAUAAUAAAGUGUCCAUCGAAUGUGCACUUUAGAAUCUUGCUGGAAGUAGUAGAUCAUCCAAGUACACCUACUGUUUUAUGAAUACUAUGAAUUCGUACAUACUACUCUGCUCACAUACUGUUUUUCGCCUACUUUAUAGUAUGGAAGUAGGCGUGUGUCUGUGCUCUUGCUCGAUGAGGUGCACCUGUUGAAUGAAGUUGGAAUAUCUCGGUUUUUGUCUAAAGAUGGGAACUGUAACAAUUGUAAUGAUUCUUGUUCUGGUUCUGAUUCCUCUUAAUGAUUUCGGUUCUAUUAAUGAUUCUUUUGAAUAUUUGGAGAACAGAAAUGCAAUUCUGUGGCCAAAUGUUGUGAUCAUUUCAAUAAUAAAUGUAAAACAACAAAUAAUAAAAAGUGCAGUCACAUACUUUUCCCUUUUUUUUUUUUUUUUUUUUUUUAAUACCAUUGACAAAACUCGUAAUGUUUCUUUAAUUACACAUUGUCAUAUGUGCAUUCAUUUAGAAGCAGUUUUCAGUGUUUGUGAUUUACUAAAAGAACCAUCUCAUAAGAGUGUUUCCCUCAAGAAUCAGGGGCCGUUUACACGACACCGUUUUCAACUAAAAAUGGAAAACUUUUUAUGCGUUUUGGCCGUUCAUUUACACGACAACGGCGUUUUGGUGGCCUGAAAAUGCAAACUUUUGAAAACGGGUUUCAAAGUGCACUUUUUUGAAAACGGUCUCUGUGUAAACAACAAAAACAUGAAUCUGUGAAAACGAUGAUGUCAUGCACAUGCGCAUUACAUGUUCAGUCUAUAGUGUUUCAUCGCUAUCUAAUGACCUGCCAGCAGAAUAUAGCGUUUUUAGUCAUUUUCACGGAUUCGUAUGAAUGGGGAUCAUUUUGACAAUGGUGUCAUCUGUACGCGGAAAACUCAAACGAAACACUUCUCCGUUUUAACCAUAUCGUUGUCGUGUAAACGUAUCCUCAGACUUCACUGGUCAGACUGUAUGUUUCUGAUUCACUAAGAAGAAUCGGAUCAUAUGAAUCAUUUACUUGAGGAUCAGACUUUGUUUGUUGCACUGUAUGUUUCGUUCUAAAUAGUGACACGGGGGACACUUCCAGGGGUUUUGGGCAUUGGUGGAAGAAUUUAUGUGCAAGAAAUGUUAUAUCAGAAUCAAAUGUCAUGAAAAUCACUUGGUUAUGUGGUUAUUGGUUCACAAUCCUACACCUCUAUCCUUCCUUAUCACAUUUUAGCUUAUCAAGCCCAAACCUGAUGUCACACCAUAGGACUCUCACAAACUCCUCUGUUUGUGCUUUGUACUCUGUGGAUAUGCAUUUUUCAGAGAAUUAGACAUGUCUGUGCAAAACAUGGAUGAAUCUUUUCUUCCCUUCCUCUAAAGGAAGUAUUUUUUUUGUCAAACCCAUUAUAUAAGUUUCCCAUCAGACUCAUGUGGUUAACUUGUGGUUUGUCUUGUCAUCCAUCUUCCAUCUUCAGUCUUAUUUUAUAAGGUUCCCUUGGAAGGAGUAUUAAUAGCACUAAAAAAAGUUACUCAAAACUCAAAAGUUUAGUGAAUAUUGCUACUUAACAUUUUUAGAUCUCGGAGCAAAUUACUGUAGCUCAAACAAUAGAGCAUGGCACUACGAUGCUAAGGUCAUGGGUUUGAUUCCCAGAGAAUGCAUGAACUGAUAAUGUGUCAAUUGCAUAAAUGUAAAAUGUAAGCUUUCUAAAACAUUGCCACCUUUCUUCUCAAAGUAUGUGUUCUUAAUGCUAUUUCAUGUUUUUGUCUUUGUGCAUCAUUUAGAUUUGUUACCUCAUGAAGUGAAAGUAUGUGGAUGGACACAUUUACUGCCCAAAAAAAUCCAUGUAAAUGUUAAUGAACUCCUGUGACUCCAUUCCCUUAUACAAAACUCUCGCCACACCCUUCUUAUAGUCACUUUCUUUCAGUAUCUCUGUUGAGAAUGAGUGUAUAGGGGAAUGGAUGGUCCUGAGUUUUGCCAGCCCUCAUAAUUCAAUGUUAAGCUUAUCAUGGCUGAGUGGCUUUUUAUCCUGGACUUGUUCGCAGUUGGCGCUGUUUCUAAUCCUCUCCACACGUAGGUCUGUGUCCCUUCAAUGUGCGUUUCUUUCUGAGGAAAUUUCCAUAGCAAUACUACAAUAGUGCCGGUGUGUGUGUGUUUUUUUUUCAACUGUCAGAAUGAACAACAGAGAAGUAUCACGGUGGAGAACAGUAUUUGAUAGUAAAACACUGAUAAUCAAAGCCGCUCUGUUCAUCUUAAUGAUAAUUUGAAUAUGUUAAAUAUAUGAUAUAACGAUUAUGAGCUGUUGGAAGCUUUCAAAUAGGAGGCAAUAUGGCAGUGUGGAAGGGCUUGUAUAUGCAGUGUGGAGGAUGUUCAUAUAUGAGGUAAAGCUGAUAGUCACUUGCCAUUGCUUGGAACAAUAAUAUCACUGUUUACUGAAUCAUGUCCUGUUUAAUUUGAAUGGCAUGACAGAGUGAAUGAAUCACAAUGAGAGAGAUUAUGAGUGCGAUAGGCAAGAGUCUCUAUAGUGAUAUCGCAUUGCCACUUGAAAAAAAAAAAUGGACCAUGACAUGGAUUUUUUUAUUAUUUUAAAAUGUUCCUUGAGGUUCACUUGUAAUGUCAAAAUAAAAAAUGCACAAAAAACAAAUAUAUAUGUGAAAAAAAUUAUUAUUUUCAACCCUCAUUCUGACCCUCUUUCUGAAAUGUAGGGAUGGGCGGUAUGGACUUAAAACUAUAUCUCAAUAUUUUCUGGUAUUUAUUGCGAUAACGAUAUCAGUGAUGAUAUACAGUAAAUAUAGUACCAUUCACCACUGUUUUUGGCUACAAGUGAUAGCUGCAUGCAGUCAUGAAAGCCUCAGAAACGCAAACAUUGAUCUAAAGUAAAACGUAACCAUCAUCAAAUAGGCUUCUAUAAUACAAAUUUCAUUUAAAAAAAACUGUAAAAACUGUAAAAAAACAAACAAAAAAAAAACAGUAAAAACACUAGCCCUUGCAGAAAUGUAAAAGUUGCAGAUAUAUUUUUCUUCUGUAAAUGUGCAGAUGUUUAAAUAGUGCAACUGUGCUGAAUAACACACAAUAAUAAUUACACACAAUAAUAAUUCAAAUCAAUUACAAGUUUGAAAUGUAAACACAGAUUCUGUAUUUAUUCAUACUCUCAAGUAACAACCCCAACCAUGUCUUCAGAUAAGUUACAAAAUUACAAGACAGAAUAAUCAAGCGUUAUUUAAUGAUAUAACUUAAGUAGGCUAAUUAGAAUUAAAACUCGCUAACCAUGUAUGAAUGAAAACGUAUGAAUGGAUAUUUGUCAUUUUAACUGAACUUAGGACUGGUGGUGAUGUUUAAGACAUUGUUGGUCAUUCAGUGUUUCUGUAAAAAACAAAAAACAAAAAUACUGAUAAGUUAAAUAUACUACUACGAUUUCUACUGCCAAUAACAAUAUAAACCUCACUAAGGAUUGAUGCGCUACUGGGUUCAUGAAUAUAAAUCACCUUGUCUGCGUUCGCUCAAUCUGAUUUGCUGAAAUCAAAACAGGGACAGUAAUAGGUGAGCGCCAGCCAAUGAGAUUGCAGUUUGUGCAUUAGUUCCGCCCACUACCGAACAAACCAGCAGUAGCUUCUGCUUGUUCUUUAAGGAAAAUACAACAAAACAUACUUUUUAUAGGAAAAUACAUCAAAGAAUAUUGUUUUCAAUGUAUCACGUCAAUUUUGACUCUCUCACUAAUGUUGUAGUAACCGGUCUUGGUCUUGAGACUGGUCUUAAAGAAUAUUGUUUACUAGUGAUUAAAGACUACGUAUUUUAGCCUAGGAUUAUAGGAAUCUUUUAGGAUUCUUAAAAUUUGUCUCAGACGACCAAAUCGUGGCCAAAAUCACAGUACCCAUCUUCAGAGAACUCAGGGAUUACGUUUCAAGACCAGUCAAGACCAUAACUGCUGGGAUAUUACUAAAUUGCUGGUGCAUUGUCUGAUUUUUUUUUUCAUUAAUGUGCUUGGAUAUAAAACUUACUGCUUCAGAUGCAAUCAAUAACUUGUUUCUAAUUUGAUUUAUUUAUUAUUUACGGUUCAGAAAUUAAUGAGGGAUUGUGUCAAAAAUGUCACCAAAAUUAAUACAAAUGCUCACAAAAUUCAAGAUAUUGUUGCAAAAAAGUUCUUGUAUGAGAUCUCAAUUUUUAUAUUAUAACAAGAUAUCAAUAUUAAAUAUCAAUAUCACAAGAGCAGGAGAGCUCUUUUUAAACCAUUAUUCUCAACAUUAUUUAUACAUUUGUAAUUUACUAAUUCAGAUGCAACUUCUGUACCACCUCUGCAGUGCAAAGAUGAAUUUUGUUGUCAGUGAUUUCAUUUGAUUGGUAACAGCUCUAUAUAGUGUCUUAUUCUAAUUAUAUUUAUUGAUUAAAAAUAAGUCAUUUCUCAGGCAGUAAUGUGGAUCUUGAAUUUAAGGAGCGCUGGUCUGGUCUUGACUCGGUCUUGCCCUGCCUUGGUCUCGGUCUUGUCUUGGUCUCAACCCCUCAAAGUCUUAGUCUUAUCUUGGUCUCAACACACAUUGGUCUUGGUCUCGACUUGGUCUUGGAUUAGGUGGUCUUGACUACAACACAAGUCUCUCGCUCUCUCUUUGAGUGAGUGAGAAACACUGAGCGCUCUCAGCAAAGCGACGGCGAGUCGGGCACCUCACGCUAGUGUUUACUGUGUGUCAAAUACACUGUGCAGAGAUGAACUGAAAUAGUGUGCUUGACAGAAAGCGAAACUCUCAAGCACUCAGUGUUCAGCAAGUGAAAAUAUAUCUGUGUGUACCAGUUCCAGAUUGUAGAGGUUUAGCGAUCAACUCCUUCUCAGCUUCACGUCCGCUUUCCGCCAUAGU